UCCGAGUUGACCCCGGCAGUCUCCUAUGAGUCCCCAUCACCCCGAAGGGCAUGCUGGCAACAUAGAACGAGGGUUGCGCUCGUUGCGGGACUUAACCCAACAUCUCACGACACGAGCUGACGACAACCAUGCACCACCUGUCACCGGCCCAAAAGGACCCCGCAUCUCUGCGAGUUUUCCGGCGAUGUCAAGCCUUGGUAAGGUUCUUCGCGUUGCGUCGAAUUAAGCCACAUGCUCCGCUGCUUGUGCGGGCCCCCGUCAAUUCCUUUGAGUUUUAAUCUUGCGACCGUACUCCCCAGGCGGGAUGCUUAAAGCGUUAGCUGCGCCACUGACGGGUAAACCCGCCAACGGCUAGCAUCCAUCGUUUACGGCGUGGACUAC
RNAcentral lists this unclassified non-coding RNA (381 nucleotides) under uncultured Actinomycetes bacterium. RNAcentral's name for it is "uncultured actinobacterium contains 16S-23S intergenic spacer region". Lineage: Bacteria; Bacillati; Actinomycetota; Actinomycetes. The record is from RNAcentral.